AGCGAACGCUGGCGGCAGGCCUAACACAUGCAAGUCGAACGAACCUUUCGGGGUUAGUGGCGGACGGGUGAGUAACACGUGGGAACGUGCCUUUAGGUUCGGAAUAACUCAGGGAAACUUGUGCUAAUACCGAAUGUGCCCUUCGGGGGAAAGAUUUAUCGCCUUUAGAGCGGCCCGCGUCUGAUUAGCUAGUUGGUUGAGGUAAUGGCUCACCAAGGCGACGAUCAGUAGCUGGUCUGAGAGGAUGAUCAGCCACAUUGGGACUGAGACACGGCCCAAACUCCUACGGGAGGCAGCAGUGGGGAAUCUUGCGCGAUGGGCGAAAGCCUGACGCAGCCAUGCCGCGUGAAUGAUGAAGGUCUUAGGAUUGUAAAAUUCUUUCACCGGGGACGAUAAUGACGGUACCCGGAGAAGAAGCCCCGGCUAACUUCGUG
RNAcentral lists this ribosomal RNA (434 nucleotides) under uncultured bacterium. Its description in RNAcentral is "partial 16S ribosomal RNA". It matches the Rfam family "Bacterial small subunit ribosomal RNA", at positions 29 to 507 of the family's 1533-position model. The record is from RNAcentral.